This is a non-coding RNA of Citrus sinensis (sweet orange), 107 nucleotides long. Lineage: Eukaryota; Viridiplantae; Streptophyta; Magnoliopsida; Sapindales; Rutaceae. The record is from Rfam.
AUACCACGAUGAGGACAUAUUUCGAGUAACUCCUUAAAUCUUUCAUAUGCAUCAGACAAGCUUUUAUCUUCAAGUUGAUGGAAAUAUGUUAUCUUGUUCCUUAAUUU